AGCUUUGCGCAGUGGCAAUAUCAUAGGCAAUGAGGUUUAUCCGAGAUGCGAUUAUUGCUAAUAGAAAACCUUCUUGCCUGUCAAGCUUACCUCUUUAAUUUAUUCUAAAUUAUCAUCACUGCUAUUUUUCUUAACAGUUACUUCAUUCUAUGGUACUG
Small nuclear RNA from Camelus dromedarius (Arabian camel), 158 nucleotides. Its record names the gene U4. It matches the Rfam family "U4 spliceosomal RNA". From Rfam's summary of the family: U4 small nuclear RNA (U4 snRNA) is a component of the major U2-dependent spliceosome. The structure of U4 snRNA from yeast and human has been reported. Lineage: Eukaryota; Metazoa; Chordata; Mammalia; Artiodactyla; Camelidae. The record is from Ensembl.